Molecule: RNA transcript, 6695 nt
Organism: Danaus plexippus (monarch butterfly)
Lineage: Eukaryota; Metazoa; Arthropoda; Insecta; Lepidoptera; Nymphalidae
Gene name: neuroglian
Exons: 17
Source: RefSeq, a predicted model, not a curated record
AGCAGUUGAAUUGAUCACUGUCGAAACAAGAAUCUCAGAGGCCCCGCCUUUAAAAUCUGUAAAUACUGUAACUUAUUCGGACCUUUCGCGAUGAAGCUUUUAUAAAAUAAGCUAUAUCUAUGAAGCACAGAAGCAACAUGGAAACCAGUACAGUGAUAAUACUCUUCGCGAUUUUGUCGCAAACGACAGCGCUGCUGACAUCACCACCGAGGAUUGUGAAGCAGCCGACGGUUGAAGAAUUGCUGUUCCAAGUGGCACAGCCGGGGGAGGUGGACAAGCCUUUCAUCAUCGAAUGUGAAGCCGAGGGAGAACCCGCACCCAAGUACAGAUGGAUCAAGAACGGCAAGUCGUUCGAGUAUACGAGUUACGAUAACAGAAUAUCCCAGCAGCCUGGACGGGGCACGCUGGUGGUCAGUCAGCCGAGGAACGAGGACUUGGGACAGUACCAGUGCUUCGCCUACAACGAGUGGGGCACGGCUACAUCCAACUCGGUGUUCGUGAGGAAGGCGGAGUUGAACUCCUUCAAGGAGACGGACGGACCUCAGAAAACGAUCACCGCUCAAGAAGGCCUACCGUUCAAACUGACCUGCGAACCGCCGGACGGCCAUCCCAGCCCUAACGUGUACUGGAUGCUGCAAGGGGAACAGGGCCAGCUGAAGACUAUCAACAAUUCCCGAAUGACCUUAGACCCCGAGGGCAACCUCUGGUUCUCGAACGUGACCAGGUUCGACGCGAGUGUGGACUACGCCUACACGUGCGCCGCUAAAUCCGUGUUCAGGAACGAGUAUAAGCUCGGCAAUAAAGUGUACUUGCAAGUUCAGCAGACUGGAAUCUCACCGACGUCGAACAAACACCAGCCCGUGUUGCAAUACGCGACCAGGAGGGUCGAGAAGGCUUGGAGAGGGAAGAAGGUGGAGCUGUACUGCAUAUACGGCGGGACGCCGCUACCUCAAGUGGUGUGGAAGAAAGAGGGCCGAACGAUAAUAUCCUCGCAGCGGAUAACUCAAGACAACUACGGCAAGACGCUCGUCAUCAAACGUGCCGGCUACGAGGACCAGGGGACGUACACCUGCGAAGUCAGCAAUGGAGUCGGAACAGCCGAGACCUACUCGAUACAACUCAACGUUGAAGCGGCUCCGUUCUUCAUCGAGGAGCCCCAGUUCCAGAACCUGGCGGAGGGCGAGACGGCCGUCAUCCAGUGUAGGGCGGGCGGCACACCAGAGCCGACCAUCUCGUGGGUCCACAACGGGAAGCCCAUAGAGCAGGCCGAGAACAACCCCCGCAGGCAGGUCACCGCCAACAGCAUCACCAUCACCGACCUCGUGAAGAAAGACACCGGCAACUACGGGUGUAACGCGACCAACUCGAACGGUUACGUCUACAAGGACGUGUUCAUCAACGUGCAGUCCAUCCCUCCUGAGAUCAAGGAGGGUCCGGACAACCUGACGGUGGUGGCGGGGUCCACGGCCGCUCUCAGGUGUCGCGUGUUCGGAGCACCCCGACCCAUCGUCAGGUGGAUGAGAGACGACAUCGACGUCACUGGCGGCAAAUACAACAUAACGAAGGAAGGUGACCUGGUGAUAGCCGAUGUUUCCUUCACCGACGUCGGCACGUACCAGUGUUACGCCAAGAACAAGUUCGGAGAGAAGUCCGCCUUCGGAUCGCUCACUGUUAAGAAACGCACAGUGAUAACUGACAAACCCGAACCGUACGAGGUCGCGGCGGGGUCGUCGGCGACCUUCAGGUGUAACGCGAACGCAGACGACUCCCUCAAGCUAGACAUCAUAUGGCUGAACGACGGACAACCGAUAGACUUCGACAACCAGCCGCGGUUCCGGAUCACCAACGACUACUCGCUGCUCAUCUCCGACACCAGCGAGCUGGACUCCGGAGAGUACACCUGCAUAGCGAAGACCGCCAUCGACGAGGCGAGGGCCCAGGCCACGCUCACCGUACAGGAUAAACCGAACCCCCCAGCUCUAGAGGGCAUCGAAUGUCACGAGCGCACCGCGACUCUCCGCUGGCACUCGAUGGGUGACAACCGCGCUCCCAUCCUCCGGUACUCCAUCCAGUAUAACACGAGCUUCACGCCUCACGCUUGGGACCUCGCCUCCGACAACGUCCCCGCCAUCGACACCUCGUGGACGGUGCAGCUCAGCCCCUGGGCCAAUUAUACGUUCAGGGUGACGGCGUCCAACAAGAUCGGCGCCUCGGCUCCGUCGUCUCACUCGGACGUGUGCACCACGCAACCAGACGUGCCUUACAAGAACCCUGACAAUGUGGAGGGGAAAGGAACAGAUCCUACCAACAUGGUCAUCACUUGGUCGAAAAUGCCUCAAAUCGAGCACAACGGUCCUGGAUUUUACUAUCUAGUGUCGUGGAAAAGAAACAUCUCAGGGGCGGCGUGGAGCGAGGAACAAGUACGGGACUGGGCCACGACGGAGUACGUCAUACCAAACACACCCACCUUCAAACCUUACAAGAUCAAGGUUAUUGCUGUCAACUCGAAGGGAACAUCAAACGUCGCUCCGGUGGAGGUCAUAGGUUGGUCGGGCGAGGACACUCCUCAACAGGCUCCCUCUAACUUCACUUUAGUACAAGUCACCACUGGAACCACGGCUCUGCUGUCCUGGAACCCGGUACCGGCCGAGUCGGUGAGGGGACACUUCAAGGGUUACAAGAUACAGACCUGGAUCGACGGCGAGGAGGACCGGCCCAAGGAGAUCCUCAUCAAAGCGGACGCCUCCAGCACACUGGUCACCAAAUUCAAACCCUUCAAGAAGAAUAACGCUCGGAUCCUCGUUUACAACGGAAGGUUCAACGGACCACCCAGCGAGACUCUUAGCUUCAACACACCAGAAGGCAAGCCCGGCACGGUGCGAUCCUUCGAAGCCUAUCCCAUAGGCUCCUCGGCCAUGCUUUUGAAAUGGGACAAACCUUUAGACGAGAACGGUAUUCUGACCGGGUACAAGAUAUACUACCAGAAGGUGACCGGCACGGCGCUCGGGCCGCUGCAGGAGAGGAAGAAGGAGAUCGAUCCCAAGUUCGACCGCGCCAAGCUGGCGGGGCUCGAGCCCAACACCAAGUACAGAAUAGAGAUACGGGCCAAGACGAAGGCCGGGGAAGGGGACAAAUAUUACGUGGAGCAGACCACCAGGGCCAUGGUCACGGCCGUGCCGGACGUGCCGGUGUUCGAGACCAGCACUCUACCCGCCAAGGAAGGAACGGCGCACAUACUGGUCAGGUGGAUACCUUCCCUGGAAGGACAUGCGGGGACGCACUUCAUCGCCUGGUAUAGACUGAGGGGAAGACCCGACUGGCUGCAGAGCAACGAGGUCACAGAGGACGACUACGUCAUACUGACGGGACUCGAACCCGGACUCGAGUACGAGGUCAAGGUCACCGCUCACGACGGAGACUACUACAGCACCAGCGACGUUAAGGUCGUCGACACAACCAUCGACGGCCCCCACGUCCGCCCACAAGAGGCGACGGCUACCGCGGGCUGGUUCAUCGGCGUGAUGGUGGCGCUCGCCUUCCUGCUGCUGGUGCUGGUGCUGGUGUGCGUCGCGCGCCGCAACAGGGGCGGCAAGUACGACGUGCACGACAGGGAGCUCGCGCACGGGCGGGCCGAGUGCCCCGACGCCGCCUUCCACGAGUACACGCAUCCAUUGGACAACAAGUCGCGGCACUCCAUGAGCAGCGGCACCAAGCCCGGCCCCGAGAGCGACACGGACUCCAUGGCGGAGUACGGCGAGGGCGAGACAGCGGGCAUGAACGAGGACGGGUCCUUCAUCGGUCAGUACGGCCGCAAGCGCCGCCCGCCGCCUGGUCAGACAGACUCGGCCUCGCAGGCCUUCGCCACGCUCGUUUAACCCCCCUCCCCGUCCCCUCCCCUCCCCACCAUUCAACACUACGCUAUACGACACUGGUCCUAACACGUAGUGCCAUUAAAAAGUAAUCUCCAACAAGGUCGUAUGUUUUAAGUUAAAAAUGUUCGAUCUUUGUAACCGUUCCCCAUUCGGCCAGGUUGUGUUAUAAUGUAAUAAUGUCUCGCGUUAUUUAUUAUGUGACGGACGCCGUCUUUACUGCGCUAUUUCAAAAAUAGUGUAAUAAAGAGUAGGCCGUUCGCUGUACCGGCGCCGUCUCCUGUGUCGCGGUUAGGUUAGUCUCUAAGUACACGUUAGGAGUAAGAGGUCUAGGUUGUAAAAAGAUUAUACACAGAGAGUGAGUCCCAGUGAAUGUUUCUACUUAUAUAGUUUAUUGUACACGGGCACGAGCUUUGCGUUAUGUUUUUUUGUUGUGCAUUUAUGUUUAACGUAGUGUAGUGAUCCAUAUAUCCGUCCCUGUGUUCCCCGUAGCCCCGCACGAGCCGCCAUUUUGUUUGUAUUGUGAGGUCGCUUCACCGAGGACGGUUCUUUCAUCGGUCAGUACGUGCCUGGUGCGCGCGUUCUGGCUCCUCCCCCUCCCGCGCCCGCGCCCGCCGCCCCGCCUACAUACGUGUAGACCUUCUACGACCGGCUACGACCAGCUACGACCGGCUACGACGCACGUGCACUCAUAUUAUUUGCGAGCUGUAUUCCGUACUGUGUGAACUGAUACGCCAAGCCGGUGGUGGUCACGCGGUCCCUCGGCCGCCGGUCGGUGGCCGGCGCUCGAGUUCAUCAGGUCGUCUGUGUUUAGUUUAAAUUUAUUAGCGAAGGCUUCACCGACGCCUCCCGCGCCCGGUGUACCGGCGUUAGUGAAUUGGAUUUACGAUUCUCGUCGUCGGUUCGGUUUCAAUACUUGUUUAUUUGAGACUGAUUUUAUGUAACCGAUAGUAGAGCGUGUAAUGUAAUCUCAAUUAUUAAAGUUGUAAUAUGUAUCGGAAGGAGCGAUGCGGCCGUCUCUGGCGAGGCGGCAGGCGGCAGGAUGCGAACAUUGGAUUAUAAGGAGAGCUAUUUUUGUCACGAUUCUAUUAAAUUAUAACGUAUAGCCAUGGAUGCGGCGGUCAGGCUCGCGACUCGCUCGCGCCGCGGCGAGCUCCUGUCUCUAUGUACACGCGUAGCGGUAUCCCUGCACCGUGACCAUUAUUUUUGUAUCGGAUGCAUAUCUUUCUACACUCGAAUACUAAACACUCUAGGACCAUGAAAUAUAUUUUUUAAAACCUUUAAUAUUAUAAUUCCCGACUCGGACACGUUAUUCUUCUAUUUAUAUGUACAGUAGUCGUACAGUAGCAGUAGCUCGGCACACUUACCUCUAUAUGAUUGUAUAAGUUGAGUGACGUCACUUCCUCGUCCAGAUCCAGUCCAUUUUCUCUGUGAAUGUCUCGGUUUUUGUGAUCCUGCUAUAGAUAUAUUUUGGUAUUGCAGCGUGACCGCCGCCGGCUGGUGCUUAGCGGGUGGUGGGGGUGGUGGGGGUGGCCUCGUACAUCUUGUUUGUAAGCUACCCUCGCAUCGUAUCGCUGUGUCGUCGUGUGACGUCACACGGGCGCGUAUCCGUGACCGUAGUAAUCUCCGGAGGAAUCUCAUCCGCGUCUGUUAGUGUUAAGAGUUUCGUGUUAUCUAAUAUUAGGCAGCUAAGCUAUGGCGUUCGCUUUCCGCUCUCCCGGCGCAUUAUUAUUUAUAUAUUGACUCUGAUAGCGUUCGUGUUUAUGUAUAUUUGAUAUUUAUCGGCCCGCCUGUGAGGCGAGGCUCCUAUUGAAUACAUUCCACGGUCUAACCACUGUAAUAGUCCCCUUCGUUCAGAUGUGAUCUGCGGGUCUCGCCGUGUGCCGCGCGCGCUCUCACCCUGUAACUCAUUAUUACAUUAGUGGACUCUGUUAUCUCGGCCCCUUUAAGUUGUUUGUUAAGGAGUUUCUGUCUAUUGUCUAGUAAGAAUUAUAAUAUAUGAAUAUAUAUAUAUGUAUAUCUCAGGGACGCCUCGUCCGUCGUCGGAGGUGGCGUCUCUUUAUUCGGUAGCUUCUUUUGUAUGUAACACUCUGUUGAUGAUUGACUUCUCUGUCGGACCUUGUUAACAUUAUAACUGUCGAUUGUCUGUUGGACUGUUGUUGGUGUUGAUGUCGGCGACGAGCUCGCCCGGUCACUGCCUUAACUCUGCGUGCGUAUGUUAUGUCCGAUGUGUUCAUUGCUGUAUUCUAUCUCCGUUACUCGACACUCGCCCCGUUCGAAUAUUUCCCGACCGUAGACGUUUAAAUUUUUUUGAUAAUCUAUCCACAGUACACGUGCACAAUAUAAGAUGAUACGUCACAAGAUUUUUUUUCUUUACCGAAUUACUUCGAAACCAUGACACUAGGGCGGUCUUAUAAAGAUGGUCAUUAUUCGAUCGCAUCUAUAAUCUGUGUAUUGUAUGACAAAUGACAAACGAUUUUAGUGAAUAAGUCCCGUUGUAUUUAUGAUUAAGACGCGAUCUUUUUGCAUACGAACGAUUGUUAUUUAAUAUAGAAAACGAUGGUUAAAGACUUAUGGCGGUUAUCCCGGAGCGCUUCACGCGACGUGUUGCUCGGGUUGGUGUGUUCGCGUCUUCAUUAUAAGUACGGCCGCCACCCGACUAGUGUUGCAUUUAUUUCUGUAUAAUCUGUGAGCGGUGUCAGAUGUAUCUGUAAUUGGCGCGUCAAGAGUUCUGUUAACGAUUUAUUUCUCAUUAAGUGACGGUAAUUUAUUGUACUAUGAUGGAUAUUUUUUUAUGUUGCAUAGAAAAUAAAUUUUAAGAAAUUA